RNAcentral lists this ribosomal RNA (616 nucleotides) under uncultured rumen bacterium. RNAcentral's name for it is "bacterial SSU rRNA". It matches the Rfam family "Bacterial small subunit ribosomal RNA", at positions 34 to 645 of the family's 1533-position model. The record is from RNAcentral.
CGCUGGCGGCGUGCCUAACACAUGCAAGUCGAACGAAGCAUGAUUGAAGGAGACUUCGGUCAAUGGAUAUCAUGACUUAGUGGCGGACGGGUGAGUAAUACAUGAGCAACCUGCCUUUCAGAGGGGGACAACAGCUGGAAACGGCUGCUAAUACCGCAUAACGUACGGAAGGGGCAUCCCUUUUGUACCAAAGGAGCAAUCCGCUGAAAGAUGGGCUCAUGACUGAUUAGUUAGUUGGCAGGGCAACGGCCUACCAAGACUGCGAUCAGUAGCCGGACUGAGAGGUUGAACGGCCACAUUGGGACUGAGAUACGGCCCAGACUCCUACGGGAGGCAGCAGUGGGGAAUAUUGGGCAAUGGGCGAAAGCCUGACCCAGCAACGCCGCGUGAAGGAAGAAGGUCUUCGGAUUGUAAACUUCUUUUAUGAGGGACGAAGGACGUGACGGUACCUCAUGAAUAAGCCACGGCUAACUACGUGCCAGCAGCCGCGGUAAUACGUAGGUGGCGAGCGUUAUCCGGAUUUACUGGGUGUAAAGGGCGCGUANGCGGAUCAGCAAGUCAGAUGUGAAAUCCAUGGGCUUAACUCAUGAACUGCAUUUGAAACUGUUGGUCUUGA